RNAcentral lists this non-coding RNA (45 nucleotides) under Schistosoma margrebowiei. Lineage: Eukaryota; Metazoa; Platyhelminthes; Trematoda; Strigeidida; Schistosomatidae. The record is from RNAcentral.
GUCCAGUUGACGAGUCUCAAAUAGGAUGAAACUAGCGUCCUGGAU